This 79-nucleotide ribosomal RNA is filed under the name Ciona savignyi (Pacific transparent sea squirt). The record is from RNAcentral. Lineage: Eukaryota; Metazoa; Chordata; Ascidiacea; Phlebobranchia; Cionidae.
GCCUACGACCAUACCACUUUGAGAACAUUCCGUGAAGCAACGUCGGGCCCUGUUAGUACUUGGAUUUGUGUCGUAGGCU